Molecule: ribosomal RNA, 253 nt
Filed under: uncultured bacterium
Lineage: Bacteria
Description: partial 16S ribosomal RNA
Rfam family: Bacterial small subunit ribosomal RNA
Source: RNAcentral
UACGGGGGGGGCAAGCGUUGUUCGGAAUUAUUGGGCGUAAAGGGCUCGUAGGCGGCCAACUAAGUCAGACGUGAAAUCCCUCGGCUUAACCGGGGAACUGCAUCUGAUACUGGAUGGCUUGAGUUCGGGAGAGGGAUGCGGAAUUCCAGGUGUAGCGGUGAAAUGCGUAGAUAUCUGGAGGAACACCGGUGGCGAAGGCGGCAUCCUGGACCGACACUGACGCUGAGGAGCGAAAGCCAGGGGAGCAAACGGG